AUUGAACGCUGGCGGCAGGCUUAACACAUGCAAGUCGAGCGAGCGGCGGACGGGUGAGUAAUGUCUGGGAAACUGCCUGAUGGAGGGGGAUAACUACUGGAAACGGUAGCUAAUACCGCAUACCAUCAGAUGUUCCCAGAUGGGAUUAGCUAGUAGGUGGGGUAAUGGCUCACCUAGGCGACGAUACCUAGCUGGUCUGAGAGGAUGACCGGUCACACGGUCGUUGAGACACUGUCCAGACUCCUACGGUGGGCAGCGGGGGGGAAUAUUGCGCAAUGUGCGGUAGGCUGAUGCGGCCAUGGGGGGUGUGUGUGAAGGGGCUUCGGGUUGUGAAGCACUUCCAUCGAGGAGGCGUUACCCGAAGAAGAAGCACCGGCUAACUCCGUGCCAGCAGCCGCGGUAAUAC
This 406-nucleotide ribosomal RNA is filed under the name uncultured bacterium. RNAcentral's name for it is "partial 16S ribosomal RNA". It matches the Rfam family "Bacterial small subunit ribosomal RNA", at positions 30 to 526 of the family's 1533-position model. The record is from RNAcentral.